Long non-coding RNA from Phyllostomus hastatus (greater spear-nosed bat), 1490 nucleotides. RefSeq lists it as uncharacterized. Lineage: Eukaryota; Metazoa; Chordata; Mammalia; Chiroptera; Phyllostomidae. The transcript has 3 exons. The record is from RefSeq and is a predicted model, not a curated record.
UCAUAUUGAAAAGCAGUGCUAAGCCCUUCUUUUAUGAAGCUUAUAAAGAGGAUUGGAGCCUAUUACAGAGAAAAAAACCUGUUUUACACAAGCUUAGAUGAGAUGGGAAGGAAACAGACAUUUGAAGAUUCAGUGAGACCCAACUGGCCAGGACGCCCAAAGAAAUUCACACCACUCCUCCACUUCUUGAAAAUAAUACCUGGGGCAGGAGAUCUGAGAUAGCAGAACAAGAAAAGCAAUUUGUUUGGUUAUCUGAUGGAGGACCUGGGAUCAUCUUGGAUGCCUGGUUAUAAGCAUCUGGAAGCAACAGAAGAAUACCUAAGAAAAGUCCUUAGGAAUGUAUUUCACAUUGUUGCCUGAAGAUUACAGCAAAAAGCAAGAGAUUUCAUAGCUCGGGAAGGAGGAAAAAGUGGUGCUUAAACUGGUUUGGUAUUUGCAGUUCUGUUUUCCUAUCCUAUACUGUCAUUUCUCAAAGCUCAUAGUGUUCUGAACAAAGAUCUCCAGCUUAAUUUGUAAAUGUGUAUACACACACAUCUCUCUAAAUGAAAAAAAUUUAAUGCUGAUAUUGGUGGAGCACGCUGCUUAGUAAACUGCUUAAUGUAUGUAUGCCCCUGAUAAGUUUCAGAGAUUAUGAUUAGUACAAGACCAUAUAUGGAGCCCUGUAAUGACACACCAGCUUGUGCCAGGCAUGUUCUCUGCCCAGACCCCGCAGGAUGCAUUUUUCCAGGUCUACAUUUGAAUCGAAGUGUUGUAUAUGGCAGAUAAUCUAAAAGUGAUGACAGUAGAUCCAUGUACCCCUGCAUAUGACAGACAGACUUUUUAAAAAAAUAGCCAUUGGGAAGUAAGUUAUUAAGCAACUCUUAAAGUUUUCAUGGAAGUUAGUGAUAUCAAAAUAUUAGUCAAGAGCUUGUUAUGUGUGAAGCUCUGUGCUAAAUGUCACAUUCUAUAUACCAUUAAAUUCUCCUUAGAGACUGUGUGAGAUAGACUCUGUACCUCCUUUCACAGAUAAGGAAACUGAGGCUCACAGAAGUUAGAACCCUCUGCUAAAUCAAUUUUACAAGAGAGAGAAUCUGGAUUUCAACCCAGAUUUGCCGGAGUCUGAAGCUCUUAUCUUUUUCACUGCAAAGUGCUGCCUCAAACAUAAGCUGCUUUCUAAGGGAAGUUUAAUAGAUACUGCUUCCUUCAGGAUUGUAGCUAGCACAUGAAGUGUAAACAUAAAAGUUUAUGUUUAAUCACAUCUCUUAAAUUAUUUUCAAAUGUUUUGAGAGAAAAGGGAUUUAUUUCAUUGCGUUUGAUUUCAAUUUUUCUACAGGAAAAAAAUAGGAUUCGAUAUGCAUGAAUUCUUAAAAGCUGAUUUUAGUUUAAACAAAACCUAAAACAAUAAAUUUUCAAGUUGUAUACUUUGCAACUGUCAAUAACUCUGCUUUUAAUAGCAUUUCCAUGGAGACCUCUUUUUAUAAGUAAGAGUUUAUCUUUCUUGAAUAUUCACU